This 582-nucleotide ribosomal RNA is filed under the name Triticum aestivum (bread wheat). RNAcentral's name for it is "partial small subunit ribosomal RNA". Lineage: Eukaryota; Viridiplantae; Streptophyta; Magnoliopsida; Poales; Poaceae. The record is from RNAcentral.
AUGUGGACCCGUCUUCGUCAGCGCUAUCAGCCCUCUGGUGAUGCCUUAUACCUUUCUGUGAUCCGUCAGGAGCAUGCUCUUCAGCAGGGUGACUCUAUUGUUGAUGACUUCUAUGCACAGAGUUCUGCUAUCUGGCGCCAGCUUGAUUCUCUCCGCAGUGCUGGUUGUCGUACCUGCCCUUGUUGCCAGGCUGUCCAGGCCAAUUUGGAGUUUCAUCGCGUCUAUGAGUUCCUGUCUCGGCUCCGUAAGGAGUUUGAGCCCCGGCGUGCUCAGUUGUUUGCUCGUGGCCGUAUUUCUCUCAUGGAGGCGCUUUCUGAGAUUCGUGCUGAGGAGACUCGCUUACAUGGUGCUGGUUUGCUGGAGGUUCCCUCUGUGCUCGCUACUCGUGCUCCUACGCCACCUGCUGCACCGACCCCUUCUCGCUCGAGUGCUCCGCCGCUCUUGCCCACUCCUUCUGGAGGCUCAGGUCGCCCCCGUCCACAUUGCGACUACUGCAACAAUGAUGGUCAUCUUGAGUCUCAGUGCUACACGAAGAAGAAACACCUGCGCAAGGCGCGAUCAUCAUCUUCUGGGACUUCGUCA